This is a long non-coding RNA of Oncorhynchus tshawytscha (Chinook salmon), 975 nucleotides long. NCBI's taxonomy places the organism in Eukaryota, Metazoa, Chordata, Actinopteri, Salmoniformes, Salmonidae. The record is from Ensembl.
UGUAGAGCGAAUCCCCCACCGCCUGCCAUCGACAUAGCUUCCACCCGUGAGUUUCGUAAGGAUCUUGUGUAAGGCUGUUGUUACAUAGUCUUCAAUGGCUAUUACAUAUAUAUGUAGUAGCUAUCUACAGUGUUUCCAGAAGUCCGGAAAAUUGUCAGUCGCUCACGUCGCAUGUGAAGAUGUAUCCGAAAAGAAAAAGUGCAAUGGAUAGUCAAAUUAUUUCGGCAGAAAUUGCUUUAGGUCUUGUUCUGUGUACAGCAUAUCGGAUAAUUUCGAAGAACAUUUUCAGUCAACAGGAGGAGAGUCAACCUGUUGACAGUGAACAGUUUGAGCUAACAAGGUCACUAGUGUGUGUAUGGCUUGCAAGCAACAUAAAGUUCCUACUCAUUAAAUGCAACAGCAAUCCAGUUUCACUGUCUGCACAUUCAACAUCCAGGCUGAUUGCAUUUCUGGCACUUCUACUGGAUAGCUGCUACGGAAUUAAUUAUCAGAGACUAUAUACUAACGAACGGCCUACAGUGGACAUGGCCAUGUGUUCUUUCUUCAUAGUGAGCAGUGUUGUCCUCUUCUUUUUGGACCACAGCCAGCUGCAGAGCAGAGUGGACUUGCGCAUGAUCUUCAGUGACUCUCAGAAGUUCUUCCUUCAGAUGGACUUUUUUGCCACCUUUGUCUUUGGCCUCCUCUGGCUGGCCUUCCCCGAUUGGCUCCUAGGAUUCCAGCCCAUUACAGGUUCUGAGGACACCUUCCAUCUUCACCUCAGUAGAGCCUUUGGCGCCAUGAUGGUGGGUGACAGUUUUGUCUCUUUUACAACACAGAAUUUCCAACCCAACAAAGAAAAGCCAUCCGUGUUCAUAAGCCGAGCAGUGGACCUGAGCCCUAGGACCAUGCCCCAGGACUACCUGACAUGAUGACUCCUUGCUGUCCCCAGUCCAUCUGACCGUGCUGCUGCUCCAGUUUCAACUGCUCUCUCUAAUU